ACUACGGGAGGCAGCAGUGAGGAAUAUUGGUCAAUGGACGAGAGUCUGAACCAGCCAAGUAGCGUGAAGGAUGACUGCCCUAUGGGUUGUAAACUUCUUUUAUAUGGGAAUAAAACGUUCCAAGUGUGGGAUUUUGUAUGUACCAGAUGAAUAAGGAUCGGCUAACUCCGUGCCAGCAGCCGCGGUAAUAGGGAGGAUCCGAGCGUUAUCCGGAUGUACUUGGUUUAAAGGGAGCGGCGGUGGAUUGUUAAGUCAGUUGUGUAAGUUUGCGGCUCAACCUUAAGAUUGCAGUUGAAACUGGCAGUCUUGAGUACAGUAGAGGUGAGCGGAAUUCGUGGUGUAGCGGUGAAAUGCUUAGAUAUCACGAAGAACUCCGAUUGCGAAGGCAGUUCACUGGACUGCAACUGACACUGAGGCUCGAAAGUGUGGGUAUCAAACAGGAUUAGAUACCCCAGUAGUC
RNAcentral lists this ribosomal RNA (460 nucleotides) under uncultured bacterium. RNAcentral's name for it is "partial 16S ribosomal RNA". It matches the Rfam family "Bacterial small subunit ribosomal RNA", at positions 338 to 795 of the family's 1533-position model. The record is from RNAcentral.